UACGAAGGGGGCGAGCGUUGUUCGGAUUUACUGGGCGUAAAGGGCGCGUAGGCGGCGAUAUAAGUCAGGCGUGAAAGCCCCGGGCUCAACCUGGGAGGUGCGCUUGGGACUAUAUGGCUGGAGUUCGGGAGAGGAGCGUGGAAUUCCCAGUGUAGAGGUGAAAUUCGUAGAUAUUGGGAAGAACACCGGUGGCGAAGGCGGCGCUCUGGACCGAGACUGACGCUGAGGCGCGAAAGCGUGGGGAGCAAACAGG
RNAcentral lists this ribosomal RNA (253 nucleotides) under uncultured bacterium. RNAcentral's name for it is "partial 16S ribosomal RNA". It matches the Rfam family "Bacterial small subunit ribosomal RNA", at positions 524 to 776 of the family's 1533-position model. The record is from RNAcentral.